Molecule: ribosomal RNA, 553 nt
Filed under: Lucilia sericata (common green bottle fly)
Lineage: Eukaryota; Metazoa; Arthropoda; Insecta; Diptera; Calliphoridae
Description: partial 16S ribosomal RNA
Rfam family: Bacterial large subunit ribosomal RNA
Source: RNAcentral
CGCCUGUUUAACAAAAACAUGUCUUUUUGAUUUUUUUUUAAAGUCUGACCUGCCCACUGAAAUUUUUUAAAUGGCCGCAGUAUACUAACUGUGCAAAGGUAGCAUAAUCAUUAGUCUUUUAAUUGAAGGCUGGUAUGAAUGGUUGGACGAGAUAUUAACUGUUUCAUGAAAAUUUAUAAUAGAAUUUUAUUUUUUAGUCAAAAAGCUAAAAUUUAUUUAAAAGACGACAAGACCCUAUAAAUCUUUAUAUUUAUAUUAUUAUAAUUUUGUAGAUUCUUUUUAUUAUAAUAAUAGAUUAUAUUUUAUUGGGGUGAUAUUAAAAUUUAAUAAACUUUUAAUUUUUUAAAUCAUUAAUUUAUGAAUAAUUGAUCCGUUAUUAGCGAUUAAAAAAACAAGUUACUUUAGGGAUAACAGCGUAAUUUUUUUGGAGAGUUCAUAUCGAUAAAAAAGAUUGCGACCUCGAUGUUGGAUUAAGAUAUAAUUUUAGGUGUAGCCGCUUAAAUUUUAAGUCUGUCCGACUUUUAAAUUCUUACGUGAUCUGAGUUCAGACCGG